This 443-nucleotide ribosomal RNA is filed under the name uncultured bacterium. RNAcentral's name for it is "partial 16S ribosomal RNA". It matches the Rfam family "Bacterial small subunit ribosomal RNA", at positions 338 to 795 of the family's 1533-position model. The record is from RNAcentral.
CCUACGGGUGGCAGCAGUGGGGAAUAUUGGGCAAUGGAGGAAACUCUGACCCAGCAACGCCGCGUGAAUGAUGAAGGUCUUCGGAUUGUAAAGUUCUUUUCUUAGGGAAGAAGAAAGUGACGGUACCUUAGGAAUAAGCCUCGGCUAACUACGUGCCAGCAGCCGCGGGAAUACGUAGGAGGCGAGCGUUAUCCGGAAUGACUGGGCGUAAAGGGUGUGUAGGUGGUUUGGCAAGUUAGUAGCGAAAUUCCAAGGCCCAACCUUGGAACUGCUACUAAAACUGUUGGACUUGAGUGCAGGAGAGGCAAGCGGAAUUCCUAGUGUAGCGGUGGAAUGCGUAGAUAUUAGGAGGAACACCAGUGGCGAAGGCGGGUUGCUGGACUGUAACUGACGCUGAGGCACGAAAGCGUGGGGAGCAAACAGGAUUAGAUACCCGUGUAGUC